Ornithorhynchus anatinus (platypus) is the source of this 1600-nucleotide long non-coding RNA. RefSeq lists it as uncharacterized. Lineage: Eukaryota; Metazoa; Chordata; Mammalia; Monotremata; Ornithorhynchidae. The record is from RefSeq and is a predicted model, not a curated record. The transcript is spliced from 3 exons.
GUUCCCUGAAAAGACAAGACUUGGGCUUGCUUCUCCAAAUGGGAAGGUUUGAAGUCUGAAAGAUCUUUCUAGGAUCUUCAAGAAGAGGCUUGAAGCAGGUGAACAACCAUUCCAAACUUCUUGAGGAGUAUGAAGUUCCAAAAUAACCACUUCCAACUGAGAAAAAGGGCAAGGCCCUGCUGUGAUGAUUAUUACCACCUCUACUCUAUCCAGCAAUCAGAUAGAGGGCCUGCUGACCCUGACAGUAAGGAUAGAAAUACAAAAGGAAGUUGUAGAAGGUUCUCCAAGGACAUGAGCUUUUUCAGAGAGUAAAGGUCUACUAAAUGACUCUUGCUGUGAGUGGAGAAUGUGUCUAUCAACUCUGUUACACUGUACUGUCCCAAGCACUCAAUACAGUGCUCUUCACACGGUAAGUGCUCAAUAAAUACGAUUGACUGCUUACAUGCUCUUCCAUAACAGAACAAAUUCUUCUCCCUCAGAGGCUACAAACAUAAGCUUAGACUUCAGCAGAUCCAUAAGCACUGUGAACAAUCAAGAGCUGAGCAGCUUGGACGGAGCACUAACCGAUCUGGGGAUAAUAAAGCUGAUUGUCUCUAUGAAGCAGCCUAAGAAUAAUUGAGUUUGAAUCUACCUGUUGCCUGAGACACUCCCUGGAAGCAACCCACAGCAGGGAGGCAGCUAAGGAUCCCCUAACAGCCCGGAAAUGACAAUGAAGUCUAACUUCAGAGAUGACUUGGCCAUGAGAAAGAAGAGAACCUGUUAAAUGCUCAGACUGCCAUGAACUUUGGGAAAUGCUCUACACGUGCAAGUUAUGCAUGUACAAUUUUCAAGACAUUAAGUAGGCAGGGUAGUAGGGAUUUCUCAAAAUAUAUGACAAAUAUUGAACACCUUUUUGGCUUAAGUAACAUGAAAAUAUCCCCCAUGUGUAAUUUUUUCCUAAACAGUGUGCUUAUCCAAAUGUUAACUGGAAUCCAUAUUCUUUAUAUGAGAUAAAGAAACUGUUUGAAGUGCAAAAAUGAUAUCUUUAUCAUCCCAUGCUGAGAACAUGAUUUUAAAUUUGGUACCAAAAAAAAAAAUCUUUCCCAUGGAACCCAAUCUUUCUUUUGUUAUUUUUACCCUUUUUCUUCUUAAAAGGGAUUAGCAGCAGAUUUAGAGUUAGUGUUUAAACAAAUCCUAAAUUGUGGUUAUUGAAAAAGUCAAUAAAUACAAGAAUAAUUGGUCCUUGAAUUUUCCAGUACUGUCUCAACAGAGCACAGCCUUGUCUCUGAGAAUCUCACCCAAGGUUUCUGAAGUGAAAUCACUGGGUUUUUUUUUAAGUAGAGUAGCUUUUAUCCCUCCUUUUAAGGAGUUUACAUUAAAAAGUUGCCAUAGAUGGCAUAUCCACAAUUCUUCAUUUUUCUGUUUUCUCCUCAGAAGUUGACCAGGAUCCUUAGUAAGACUUGUGGUAUUUGUUAAGCAAUUACUAUGUAUCAAACACUGUACUAAACCCUGGAGGAGAUACAAGAUAACCAGCUCUGACUCAGUUUCUGAUUCACACUGGGGUCACAGUUUAAAUAGGUGGGAGAACAGAUAUUGAAGCCUCAUUUUAAAGAUGAGGAAA